This 407-nucleotide ribosomal RNA is filed under the name uncultured bacterium. RNAcentral describes it as "bacterial SSU rRNA". It matches the Rfam family "Bacterial small subunit ribosomal RNA", at positions 374 to 794 of the family's 1533-position model. The record is from RNAcentral.
GGCGCAGCCUGAUGCAGCGACGCCGCGUGAGGGAUGACGGCCUUCGGGUUGUAAACCUCUUUCAGUAGGGAAGAAGCGAAAGUGACGGUACCUGCAGAAGAAGCGCCGGCUAACUACGUGCCAGCAGCCGCGGUAAUACGUAGGGCGCAAGCGUUAUCCGGAAUUAUUGGGCGUAAAGAGCUCGUAGGCGGUUUGUCGCGUCUGCCGUGAAAGUCCGGGGCUCAACUCCGGAUCUGCGGUGGGUACGGGCAGACUAGAGUGAUGUAGGGGAGACUGGAAUUCCUGGUGUAGCGGUGAAAUGCGCAGAUAUCAGGAGGAACACCGAUGGCGAAGGCAGGUCUCUGGGCAUUAACUGACGCUGAGGAGCGAAAGCAUGGGGAGCGAACAGGAUUAGAUACCCUGGUAGA